Molecule: ribosomal RNA, 253 nt
Filed under: uncultured bacterium
Lineage: Bacteria
Description: partial 16S ribosomal RNA
Rfam family: Bacterial small subunit ribosomal RNA
Source: RNAcentral
UACGGAGGGUGCAAGCGUUGUCCGGAUUUAUUGGGUUUAAAGGGUGCGUAGGCGGCUAUUUAAGUCAGUGGUGAAAUCCUGCAGCUUAACUGUAGAACAGCCAUUGAUACUGGAUAGCUUGAGUACAGACGAGGUAGGCGGAAUUUAUGGUGUAGCGGUGGAAUGCGCAGAUAUCAGGAGGAACACCGAUGGCGAAGGCAGCUCGCUGGGACGGUACUGACGCUGAGGCGCGAAAGCGUGGGGAGCGAACAGG